GAUGUAGUCCACCAAUGAGACGCCGGAAGGACACUAGGGCGGGCCAAUGGGCGCGCGGCGUAGGGGCAGGGCUGGAGGCUAGCAGGGGGCGGGGCCGGUCUCUAGGCAGCGGCAUCUGGGGUGGGGUGCCUAAGAUGCUCUACUACUUAGGCAGUGAAAGCACCUGCUGGGUCGGACGGAGUGCCUGAGCCGCGCCGCCGCCGCCCCCUCCCGCCGGGACCUGUCGCAGCCGCCAGCGCCACCGACCCGCGGUAACCAUGUGUGACCGCAAGGCGGAAAUCAAAAAUGCGGACAUGUCAGAGGAGAUGCAGCAGAACUCGGUGGAGUGUGCCACCCAGGCCCUGGAGAAGUAUAACAUAGAGAAGGACAUGGCAGCCCAUAUCAAGAAGGUGAGGAGUGUGGAGUCUUAGGACAACAGCAAGAUGUCCAACCUGGGAACCAAGUGGCAGAUUGCUCUGGCUUGGUGUUUGAGGCAUCUUCCAGCCUAGGAAAGACUGUUUUGUGGAGAGGCUCAUGGCAGUGCAGACUUGGUGACUGGAUGAGAGGGCUGGCCAGAGCUCAGCAACCUGAGUCCAGGCCCUCACUGAGAUUUGAUCAUGGGUCUCUGAGUUGGGUUGUACAUGGAGAGUCUGGAAUUCCACCCCUUCCUUAGACUCCUGGCACUUUGGUACAAAAUCACUGAAUCCCUCUGAGUCUUAAAUGAAGAUGAAAAAGCCUGCAGUAAAAUUGACCUCACAGGGCAACUGAAAAGGGAUGCGAUGGGAAGAAGAGGAGUAGCCAUGGAAAGAUGAGUCAUGCCAAUGAGAUUGGUCCAGACUGGCAGGAACAAUGGGGGAAGAUCGGCAAGGGCACCAUUCCAGGGCCCAGCUCAAAGAGUUUUCCUUUCCCUUGCCAAUAUAUUGAAAAUACGUCAAUAAAGGCAUCUAUGUAUGUGUGUUUUUUGAGCA
Trichosurus vulpecula (common brushtail) is the source of this 947-nucleotide long non-coding RNA. RefSeq lists it as uncharacterized. The transcript is spliced from 3 exons. The record is from RefSeq and is a predicted model, not a curated record. Lineage: Eukaryota; Metazoa; Chordata; Mammalia; Diprotodontia; Phalangeridae.